Molecule: ribosomal RNA, 417 nt
Filed under: uncultured bacterium
Lineage: Bacteria
Description: bacterial SSU rRNA
Rfam family: Bacterial small subunit ribosomal RNA
Source: RNAcentral
GAUGAACGCUGGCGGCGUGCUUAACACAUGCAAGUCGAACGGGAUCCAUCAGGCUUUGCUUGGUGGUGAGAGUGGCGAACGGGUGAGUAAUGCGUGACCGACCUGCCCCAUACACCGGAAUAGCUCCUGGAAACGGGUGGUAAUGCCGGAUGCUCCAGUUGAUCGCAUGGUCUUCUGGGAAAGCUUUCGCGGUAUGGGAUGGGGUCGCGUCCUAUCAGCUUGACGGCGGGGUAACGGCCCACCGUGGCUUCGACGGGUAGCCGGCCUGAGAGGGCGACCGGCCACAUUGGGACUGAGAUACGGCCCAGACUCCUACGGGAGGCAGCAGUGGGGAAUAUUGCACAAUGGGCGCAAGCCUGAUGCAGCGACGCCGCGUGAGGGAUGGAGGCCUUCGGGUUGUAAACCUCUUUUAUCGGG